Molecule: ribosomal RNA, 2919 nt
Filed under: Triticum aestivum (bread wheat)
Lineage: Eukaryota; Viridiplantae; Streptophyta; Magnoliopsida; Poales; Poaceae
Description: partial small subunit ribosomal RNA
Source: RNAcentral
AUGGUCUCCGGCGUGGCUUCUGGGAGGCGGAGGAGAUGCGACGAGCGGCUGGGUGCCGGCGACGACGACGCCGGCCUGCUGCAUCGCGGCCGGCGGGGCUUAACGGGCCCGCUUCGGGCCUGGCUGGGCCAGGGGUGGCCCGGCAUGCCCCGUUGCCGCUUCCGGACGGCUACUGCGACGGUGCCGGAGGCACGGGCCUCCCGCACGACGGCGGUGGAGGUGGUUCCCUCCCGCUCGACGUCGGUGUUGCUGCUCCCGUCGUGAACCUGGCGGCGCAAGAGAAGGCGCCUUCUAGCACGAAGCUUCGGGCAACAAGAACUUCACCGGGAAAGAGACGAUUUGCCGGCCACUAUGGAUGAGAAUGAGGUCUACGACCGAGCCUCGCUUGGAUCUACAUCAUCGGUAAACAAAAUAAUCCAUCCAGAUAUCCAGGGCAGAGGCUUAUCGAUGGCUGGAUGGAUUCAUCAGGAGGUCCUGGGCUUGACGAGUGCAUGGCUUUCACGGGCCUUGGUCGUUUUGAGCUUCUCCACGCAUCUUAUCGUCAUCCUAUGUGCUGGGGUACGUCGGCAUAAAGCCACCGGUGUGCGGUGGUUCUUUCUGUGUGUGAUGUUCCCGCUGGCCGAGAAGGCCUCGACAUAUGCCCUCAGCAACCUCUUCUUCGACAGCACGUCAAGCGAGCACCAGAAGCUCAUCGCGUUCUGGGCCCCAUUUCUGCUGCUAAACCUCGGUCGUGGAGACAACAUCUGCGCAUUAUAUUUGCAGGACAAUGAGCUCUCAAAUCGUGAAGCGGCGGGUGCCAUCCUAGAUGUGGUGGCCUCCAUCUAUGGGGCAUACGCACAUAUUGGAGGCGACACUUCGUUGCUACCAGCGUUCUUGGUUAUGCUUGUCUUGGGGUUGUGGAAAUACUGGGAGAGAGUCAGGGCGCUACAGAAAGGCAGAAUGGACAGAAUUCGGAGCACAAUUGAGGAGGUCGAGGGCCAGCAGCCAGUUACUGUCUACCCAAGUGUACAUGGGGAGUUGGAUAAUAAGAAAGCUCUGGAAUCUGCACACUCCCUCCUCCAUAUCACCAAGGGUGCCUUCACUGAUAAGUCGUUCAUGCUGACAGAAGUGAAACCAAAUGGCGAUGAAUCUUCCUGGAAGGGGAUAUCCGCUGGAGAAUGGAACAAUUUGAGCAAGGUGGUGGAGAUGGAGCUCUCUCUCAUGUAUGAUAUCAUGUAUACCAAGGCAACGAUGGUCCACACAUGGAUGGGCUACUUCAUCCGUUCCAUUUCACCGAUUGGCACCACCACUGCAUUCGUGCUGUUUUCCUUGCACGGUAGAGAUGGCCAGUCCAGGUUUGAUAUCAUCAUGACUUACAUCUUGCUGGUUACCACCUUCCUCCUGGAUAUGAGAUGGCUGCUCACAGCACUAGGCUCCAGCUGGGCAUAUGAAGCCGUGAAAGAUACAAAGCCUCUUCUCAUGCUCAAGGUGUACAAGAUAUGUCGCUUCAUUCUGUAUCUGGAUCCAUCCCGGCUCUCCUUGUCCCGGCCUCAUAUCAGGCCGACAGGUAGCCACAGGAGGUGGUCAGGCAUCAUCGGUCAGUUCAACUUGUUGCGCGACUGUACUGGGGAAGCCGAUGAGAAUUCAACUUCAUGGAAAUUAGGCGAACUGGUGGUGAAAAAGCUUGCAUCCGAUGAGAAUUGGAAGGAAUACCGAUAUUGUUACUUGAGGGGCCUCAACAUUCUAGAACCUGAAAGGGACAAGUUGUUCAAACGGAUAUUCCAAAAGCUGGAGUCACCGUUUGGAAAAAACAAGGGUAAGAAGAAAAAGGAGCCCCUGGGGCAGCAACCAGCCUCCCCCCCGCCCAUGGCACCACAGUUCCACUGCCACCACCAACACCCCUGCUACCCCUGCCCCAACCCCGGUUACCCUUGCCCCGCCCCCGACGCCUACUACAACCCCGGUUACCUUUGCCCCGACGCCUACUACAACCCCGGUUACACCGGUUUCCCUUGCUUCGACGCCUACUACAACCCCGUUUACCCCGCCGAUUAUCUUCCCUGGAUUCUCCACUGCUACCCGGUGCCAGUGCCGGAGACACUCAUGACAGAAAGGAAGGAGGGAGCUAACAUCAGAAGGGACAGGGCAUUAGACGAACAUCUGGGAUUCGAUCCAGAAUUGUCUGAGGUCAUUCUGACCUGGCACAUCGCAACAGAUAUUCUCCUGCAGCACAUCGGUAAGGACGAUCCAUUGCCAAAAUAUAAGAAAGUGAUCAAGGCGCUGUCAGAUUACAUGAUGUUCCUCUGGGUUGUACGCGCAACCAUGCUGCCAGGCCUUUUGCUUCGUAGCCACUAUGAACACACGAGGGGAAUUCUGGGUGAAAUAUGGGAAUCUGAAGAUUGUAAGAAACAUUGCCCUGAACGGCCUGAAGGCGGUUACGUCACAGAGAAGCAUCGUCUUGCAAGUUUCCUUCUGGAGAAGUAUAAGGGGGCCGGUGAAAGCAGCAGCAGCAGCAGCCAGAGUCAUUCCGGAGAAAGUCUUUUUCUUUUGGAUGGCAUUCAGUAUGCCAAGGUGCUGCUACUUCUGCAUAGGGAAACAGAUACGGAAAUUACCGGAAUUCUCAAAAAGGUUAAGAUGGGGAAGCAGUCAUCUGAAAGACUUAAGAAGUUGAUGCCGAAGCUGUGGUCUCCUAAGUGGAGCACGAGAAAGGAACCAUCUGAAGAACCUAACAAGUUGAGGGAACUGUUGAGUCUCAUCUUUGACGCAUGGGUCCGUUUGCUUAUCUUUGCAUCCAAACGGUGUAGCAGGGAUUCCCAUGCCAAGCAGCUUGGCAGUGGCGGUGAGCUCAUAACCAUUGUUUGGAUCCUGAUAGAACAUGCCAGCAUACUUCGCAUCAAUAACACGAUUGACGGAUCUGCUGAGAGCGACGACGAAACCUGA